Varanus komodoensis (Komodo dragon) is the source of this 1995-nucleotide long non-coding RNA. RefSeq lists it as uncharacterized. The record is from RefSeq and is a predicted model, not a curated record. NCBI's taxonomy places the organism in Eukaryota, Metazoa, Chordata, Lepidosauria, Squamata, Varanidae. The transcript is spliced from 3 exons.
CCGAGCGGAGCCGGAAUCCCCCGAGCGGAACCGGAACUAGCCGAGCAAGCACGGAAAUGGCCGAAAAAAAUGGAUGCGGCCGAGUUCGGACGGAAAUGCCCGAACGGAUGCAAAGGAGGGGAGGUGGUUCGUGCGCUUGCCUCUCCGCCGGAUUCCCCGAGCGAUGCCGAAGAGAGCCGAAGUGAAGAGGCGUCUAGACGACGAAGGGAUACCCGCGAUACAGCAGUACCGGCUCCCGGCAGUGCGCUUGGUUUUGCUGUAAGAGGUGCUGGGGCUCACAAGCUGACCUGUAAACCGCUUUAUGUCCACUUGAAAGAGCCCUGCUUACAGAUAGGAGUAGCAAGGAAAAGGAACCCGCGGUUCCUCAGCGGAACUGGUUCCUCAGAGUAGCACCCCAAAAAAUAUUGAGCCACUGAUGCUGAAGAGGCCCUCUUUUCUGCUAUGCCUCCUGCAUCCUCCCAUCCCUAUUGCAUCCCCAGUGGCUGGCCAAGAGCCGCCCCCCUCAAAAAAAACUCUGCUCCCUUCCACGUCUUGGCAUUUUGCCCAUCAUCUUGAAGAGCGGAGAUUAGAAAGUUGUCAGCCAUGUAGGCUGUGCUAGAUACAGCAGGAAAGAGAGAGAACAGUGAUUUUGACCCUCAACAUCUCUUCUGUCUUUAGAAAUUGUCUAGUUAACAGCACUGCCCCUCCUCAGACUAAUUAGGGUCAUGGGCUUUUUAAAAAACACAUUUGGGAGAUAUGGGUUGUGGGGGGGUGCUCUUCAAAUGACCUAUUAUAAAUGGAAAAUUACCAUAUUAAGAACAAAGGCCUGCAUAGUUCCCCCAAACUCUAGCAGAACCAAUCAUCAAGGUUUUUAACUCCCACCCAGGUUAUAGGGUGAUGCGGUACUAUUAUCCCAGACUCAAAUUUUGUUUAGGACACCUGCAUCAAAUAAGGAAAGCCAAGUGUAAAUAAGGAACUGGAGAACCAUGUUCAGCCCUGUUAAGUAAAGUGCUACUUCCAAAUUGAACCCCAUUUACAGAUUUGGUGGGGAGAGGAGGGGAGCGAUCUGGUUCUUCAGUGGGGAAGUUGCAAUCAGCCCAUGCUCAGAGGCCAGCUUGUCUUUAUUGUUUAGCACUUAAUAUGUUUUGGCUCUGAAACCUGCUGCAGAAAAUAUACUUUUUCCUCCAGGUGCCUGUUUGUUAUUGCAUCAUUAUGUAAGAAGCAACCUGAGACCAAAGGCCCAAGUUGGCAUCCCAUUGCAUAGGCUGGCGACAGAUGGUCUGUUUGCAUGAUCACAGAGAUAUGUGAGCCAACAUUGUUUUCCUGCAAGUUCUGUGAGCACGGUUUUCCUGCAAGUUCUGUGAGUACAUUUUAGCGAUUCCAUAAGGUAAGCCCUGCUGUCCUGUCUUGUUUUGACACAGGGAGCAUUCAGCUGUCCCCAGAAAGUCCAGAGGCAAAACAUGAAGGCUGUUCAUGGAACAGUGAACUUGUCCAAUUUGGAAGCCAUUUAAAAUACUGGCCAUCACUGCAUUUUGUGGCUGUCAUUUGCACAAAGUAAUUAUGCAAUAUCUAUGAAUGCUGAUUCUUAUGUAGCUCGACCAGAGCCACCCGUGCACAAGAGAGAAGUCCCAGCAGGCUUGCCGUAACCCUGAGGUUUUCAGUGAAAAAACAACAACACUUGUGGGUUAAAAAGAAACUCUAAUGGAGGAAAUUCCAAAAAUACCUGGACUGCUAUGGGAUGCUAAUUCAGUGGCUAUGGAAUGCCAAUUCUUGGGGAAGAAAACAGGAUAAAAGGGAAUGGAAUAGAGUAUCCUGGAGGAGAGCAUGGCUGAGGAUGGUGUCCAGCAGAAGAGCUCCAUUGUGAAAUGUUUGUUGUAGGAACCAUUUUUCUCUCUAAAAGGCGAGGAAUGGGGUUCCAGAAUGUACAUAGCUCAUUCUAGUUAUAUUCUAGUUGCUGCUGUGACUGUUCCCCUCCCCCCUCCCCUUGUAGCCCCCAAAUUGCAGUACCGUGGAUGG